This is a long non-coding RNA of Neofelis nebulosa (Clouded leopard), 1744 nucleotides long. RefSeq lists it as uncharacterized. The record is from RefSeq and is a predicted model, not a curated record. Lineage: Eukaryota; Metazoa; Chordata; Mammalia; Carnivora; Felidae. The transcript is spliced from 2 exons.
GGACAGAUUUUCCCAUGGGUUACCCCACCGAUGACCUGCCAAGAAUAUGUGGGGGAGAAGGGUGCACCUGUAUGAUGAUGAGAUCUGGCUGACACCAUCACAGAGACCGAACUAUCAGGAAUAGUGGGACACCAUGUGCCUGCUGGUGGCAUGCAGGAGGAAUUGCAGUCUUUUCUGUGAAGUAUUCUUACUAAGAAAUAUUCAAUCAAAACCUUAGUCUGUAUUUCUAACUUCAAGUUCAAAGGAAAUUCAGGGAACAAAGGAGUAAAACGAAACCACCAGGAAAAAAUAAAAUUCAGAAAAUGGACAUUUUAUAAGACAUCUAGCCUGGUCUCUUCAAAAAGUCAAAGGGAGUAAGUAGUGAUUCCUGCAGCUUAGGUGAAUAGGAGUCCUAAUGGAAUGUCGCCUGUUGUCUUCAGUUGGUUCUUUGUUUGAACAAAUGAACUAUAUAAUGCAUUUGGGGAACAAGUGGGAAAAUGUGAAUGUGAACUAGGUAUUAAGGAAUUCUUGUUUUUCAAAGUGUGGCUGUAAUACCACUCUAUGUAAGAUAGCAUGUUAUUAUCAUGUUUGGAACAUACUUUUAACUGGCAAGAGAGGGGAAUAUGUGUAAACAGUUGUUUGAUUUGGUGGUGGGCAUAUGGGUAUUCACUGUACCCUUCUUUCCACAAUUAUGCAUAUUUUAACUUUUUUUUCACAAUUAAUGUUUAACAAAAACAGGCUCCAAGCUUCCAACCAGUCACUGCUGCUCCACAGUGAGGAGCCGGCAGCCCUAAGUCUCGGUCUCCUCCAGGGCUUUGCACCCUCUCCAGUGGCUGGAGACCCAGGGUUGUGGGCACCACACUGAGCCUCUGGAGCCAGGCGUGCCAUUUGCAUUCCCAACUUCCCGCAAACUGAGUUAGGUACGGAUGCGGAAGUGGGGGUGGUUGAAGGGGAGUGGGGGUGUGGAGAAGUAUUGUUUGGGCAGAGUGGGUUUGGGACUUCACAAGUGCAGCAGGUCACUUUCCACCCACACCGCCUCUCACAGACUGUUUUUCAGGACAGGCCUCCUGGAGCAGAGCCUAGGAAGCCCUUUCCUCUGUGGUGUUACCUUCCUCUCCCCAGCCCUCAGUAGGAAGUUUGGACACACAAGGGGACACCAAGGAUGCUUGUGCACAGAGGAACAACCAUGUGAGGACACGGCGAGAAGGCACUCAUCCGCAAGCCAAGAGGUCUCAGGAGAAAGCAAGCCUGCCCACACCUUGAUCUUGGACUUCCAGACUCCAGAACUGUGAGAGAAAUUUCUGUCAUUUAAACUGCCCAGUCUGUGGUAUUUGCAGUGGCAGCCCUGGAAAACGAAUCCAGUGUGAGCUAUGGAGUUUACUUUGUUUUAAUAUGGAAAAACCAUUGGCUUCUAGUUCCAUUUACUGAACAGUCCCGCGCUUCCUCACUGAUCUAUCAUGACUCUUUGGUCAUCUACCAAAGUUCCAUAUAAAUGUGGAGCUAUUUCUAGGCACUUUAUUCCAUUGAUCAGUCUAUCCCUGUGAGAGGACUGUGCUUCAUUAUAAGUGAUGAUAGCUGGUAGAGAAAGGCCUUGCCCCUUUUCUUCUUCUUUAAAGGGACUUGGCUAUUUUUGAUCACCUACACGUUGCUAUGAAGGUUAGAAUCAGCCUGCCAAGUGUCAUUAGAGAUCAUAUUGGGAUUUUGAUUGUAUUUGCAUUAAAUCUGUAGAACUACAGAGAAAUAAACUUUGUAAUUAAAGAAUGAU